ACGGGAGGCAGCAGUGGGGAAUAUUGCACAAUGGGGGAAACCCUGAUGCAGCGACGCCGCGUGAGUGAAGAAGUAUUUCGGUAUGUAAAGCUCUAUCAGCAGGAAAGAAAAUGACGGUACCUGACUAAGAAGCCCCGGCUAACUACGUGCCAGCAGCCGCGGUAAUACGUAGGGGGCAAGCGUUAUCCGGAUUUACUGGGUGUAAAGGGAGCGUAGACGGUAAGGCAAGUCUGAAGUGAAAUGCCAGGGCUCAACCCUGGAACUGCUUUGGAAACUGUCCUACUAGAGUGCGGGAGAGGUAAGUGGAAUUCCUAGUGUAGCGGUGAAAUGCGUAGAUAUUAGGAGGAACACCAGUGGCGAAGGCGGCUUACUGGACUGUAACUGACGUUGAGGCUCGAAAGCGUGGGGAGCAAACAGGAUUAGAUACCCUGGUA
This 434-nucleotide ribosomal RNA is filed under the name uncultured Clostridium sp. Its description in RNAcentral is "partial 16S ribosomal RNA". It matches the Rfam family "Bacterial small subunit ribosomal RNA", at positions 341 to 792 of the family's 1533-position model. Lineage: Bacteria; Bacillati; Bacillota; Clostridia; Eubacteriales; Clostridiaceae. The record is from RNAcentral. RNAcentral also lists the same sequence under 1 other name.